UGGGAAUAUUGGACAAUGGGCGCAAGCCUGAUCCAGCCAUACCGCGUGGGUGAAGAAGGCCUUCGGGUUGUAAAGCCCUUUUGUUGGGAAAGAAAUCCAGCUGGCUAAUACCCGGUUGGGAUGACGGUACCCAAAGAAUAAGCACCGGCUAACUUCGUGCCAGCAGCCGCGGUAAUACGAAGGGUGCAAGCGUUACUCGGAAUUACUGGGCGUAAAGCGUGCGUAGGUGGUCGUUUAAGUCCGUUGUGAAAGCCCUGGGCUCAACCUGGGAACUGCAGUGGAUACUGGGCGACUAGAGUGUGGUAGAGGGUAGCGGAAUUCCUGGUGUAGCAGUGAAAUGCGUAGAGAUCAGGAGGAACAUCCAUGGCGAAGGCAGCUACCUGGACCAACACUGACACUGAGGCACGAAAGCGUGGGGAGCAAACAGGAUUAGAUACCCUGGUAGUCCACGCCCUAAACGAU
This 462-nucleotide ribosomal RNA is filed under the name uncultured bacterium. RNAcentral describes it as "bacterial SSU rRNA". It matches the Rfam family "Bacterial small subunit ribosomal RNA", at positions 356 to 810 of the family's 1533-position model. The record is from RNAcentral.